AUCUGGCACAAAUGUCCACUUGGACUCAAGGAUAAACUGAUUAGAAUUUGGUGGUCAAAGGUCAAAGGUGCUGUGAGCUCAAGUU
Molecule: long non-coding RNA, 85 nt
Organism: Myripristis murdjan (pinecone soldierfish)
Lineage: Eukaryota; Metazoa; Chordata; Actinopteri; Holocentriformes; Holocentridae
Exons: 3
Source: RefSeq, a predicted model, not a curated record